UCUCCCGUCAUCUAACGGCAAGAUGCUUGACUGUUAAUCAAGUCAUGGCGGUUCGAAUCCGCCCGGGAGAG
This 71-nucleotide transfer RNA is filed under the name Solirubrobacterales bacterium. It matches the Rfam family "tRNA". From Rfam's summary of the family: Transfer RNA (tRNA) molecules are approximately 80 nucleotides in length. The record is from Rfam by way of RNAcentral. Lineage: Bacteria; Bacillati; Actinomycetota; Thermoleophilia; Solirubrobacterales.